GAUCUGGCCAGGAUGAACGCUAGCGACAGGCUUAACACAUGCAAGUCGAGGGGCAGCAUAAUUUGUAGCAAUACAGAUUGAUGGCGACCGGCGCACGGGUGAGUAACGCGUAUGCAACUUACCUAUCAGAGGGGGAUAGCCCGGCGAAAGUCGGAUUAAUACCCCAUAAAACAGGGGUCCCGCAUGGGAAUAUUUGUUAAAGAUUCAUCGCUGAUAGAUAGGCAUGCGUUCCAUUAGG
This 238-nucleotide ribosomal RNA is filed under the name uncultured bacterium. RNAcentral's name for it is "partial 16S ribosomal RNA". It matches the Rfam family "Bacterial small subunit ribosomal RNA", at positions 15 to 245 of the family's 1533-position model. The record is from RNAcentral.